AUGAACGCUGGCGGCGUGCCUAAUACAUGCAAGUCGAGCGAACAGAUGAGGAGCUUGCUCCUCUGACGUUAGCGGCGGACGGGUGAGUAACACGUGGAUAACCUACCUAUAAGACUGGGAUAACUUCGGGAAACCGGAGCUAAUACCGGAUAAUAUAUUGAACCGCAUGGUUCAAUAGUGAAAGACGGUUUUGCUGUCACUUAUAGAUGGAUCCGCGCCGCAUUAGCUAGUUGGUAAGGUAACGGCUUACCAAGGCAACGAUGCGUAGCCGACCUGAGAGGGUGAUCGGCCACACUGGAACUGAGACACGGUCCAGACUCCUACGGGAGGCAGCAGUAGGGAAUCUUCCGCAAUGGGCGAAAGCCUGACGGAGCAACGCCGCGUGAGUGAUGAAGGUCUGCGGAUCGUAAAACUCUGUUAUUAGGGAAGAACAAAUGUGUAAGUAACUAUGCACGUCUUGACGGUACCUAAGCAGAAAGCCACGGCUAACUACGU
Molecule: ribosomal RNA, 495 nt
Filed under: uncultured bacterium
Lineage: Bacteria
Description: partial 16S ribosomal RNA
Rfam family: Bacterial small subunit ribosomal RNA
Source: RNAcentral